AACUGCUUCUAAUUAUUUGUCUUGAAAACAAAUCACAGGAAUUCUCUGAGCAGUUC
RNAcentral lists this transfer RNA (56 nucleotides) under Ascoschoengastia sp. TATW-1. RNAcentral's name for it is "tRNA-Ser". The record is from RNAcentral. Lineage: Eukaryota; Metazoa; Arthropoda; Arachnida; Trombidiformes; Trombiculidae.